RNAcentral lists this ribosomal RNA (305 nucleotides) under uncultured bacterium. Its description in RNAcentral is "partial 16S ribosomal RNA". It matches the Rfam family "Bacterial small subunit ribosomal RNA", at positions 508 to 807 of the family's 1533-position model. The record is from RNAcentral.
ACAGCAGUCGCCGCGGGAAUACGUAGGGUGCGAGCGUUAAUCGGAAUUACUGGGCGUAAAGCGUGCGCAGGCGGUUUUGUAAGACAGGCGUGAAAUCCCCGGGCUCAACCUGGGAAUGGCGCUUGUGACUGCAAAGCUAGAGUGCGGCAGAGGGGGAUGGAAUUCCGCGUGUAGCAGUGAAAUGCGUAGAUAUGCGGAGGAACACCGAUGGCGAAGGCAGUCCCCUGGGCCUGCACUGACGCUCAUGCACGAAAGCGUGGGGAGCAAACAGGAUUAGAUACCCCCGUAGUCCCUGUCUCUUAUAC